CCUGUUAUACGGCUAACAGUAGCCUAGGGAUAGUGCGAUGCUGGUAACGGCAUGGUGCGAAGCUUCCUGACAAUGUACCCCUGCAUAAGCAGUGUCUUAACUCGUGAGAGUAUGCAUAGCUGGCUAACAAUAAGCUGGCUGGGGG
Molecule: non-coding RNA, 145 nt
Filed under: Alteromonas macleodii
Lineage: Bacteria; Pseudomonadati; Pseudomonadota; Gammaproteobacteria; Alteromonadales; Alteromonadaceae
Source: RNAcentral